GACGAACGCUGGCGGCGUGCUUAACACAUGCAAGUCAAGGGGGCCCAGCAAUGGGCAACCGGCGAACGGGUGCGUAACACGUGAGCAACCUACCGAAAUGUGGGGGAUAGCCGGCCUAACGGCCGAGUAAUACCGCAUACGCUUUCAGAGAGGCAUUUCUUUGGAAGGAAACCUACGGGACAUUUCGAGGGGCUCGCGGCCUAUCAGCUAGUUGGCGAGGUAACGGCUCACCAAGGCAACGACGGGUAGCUGGUCUGAGAGGAUGGCCAGCCACAUUGGGACUGAGAUACGGCCCAGACUCCUACGGGAGGCAGCAGUGGGGAAUCUUGCGCAAUGGCCGAAAGCCUGAACGCAGCGACGCCGCGUGUGGGAGGACGCC
Molecule: ribosomal RNA, 379 nt
Filed under: uncultured bacterium
Lineage: Bacteria
Description: bacterial SSU rRNA
Rfam family: Bacterial small subunit ribosomal RNA
Source: RNAcentral